Molecule: ribosomal RNA, 497 nt
Filed under: uncultured bacterium
Lineage: Bacteria
Description: partial 16S ribosomal RNA
Rfam family: Bacterial small subunit ribosomal RNA
Source: RNAcentral
GAUGAACGCUGGCGGCGUGCCUAAUACAUGCAAGUCGAGCGAACGGACGUGAAGCUUGCUUCUCUGAUGUUAGCGGCGGACGGGUGAGUAACACGUGGAUAACCUACCUAUAAGACUGGGAUAACUUAGGGAAACCGGAGCUAAUACCGGAUAAUAUUUUGAACCGCAUGGUUCAAAAGUGAAAGACGGUCUUGCUGUCACUUAUAGAUGGAUCCGCGCUGCAUUAGCUAGUUGGUAAGGUAACGGCUUACCAAGGCAACGAUGCAUAGCCGACCUGAGAGGGUGAUCGGCCACACUGGAACUGAGACACGGUCCAGACUCCUACGGGAGGCAGCAGUAGGGAAUCUUCCGCAAUGGGCGAAAGCCUGACGGAGCAACGCGGCGUGAGUGAUGAAGGUCUUCGGAUCGUAAAACACUGUUAUUAGGGAAGAACAUAUGUGUAAGUAACUGUGCACAUCUUGACGGUACCUAAUCAGAAAGCCACGGCUAACUACGUG